RNAcentral lists this long non-coding RNA (333 nucleotides) under Callithrix jacchus (white-tufted-ear marmoset). RNAcentral describes it as "lncRNA (ENSCJAG00000072834.1)". Lineage: Eukaryota; Metazoa; Chordata; Mammalia; Primates; Cebidae. The record is from RNAcentral.
GGGAAAGUAGAUGUGUGGGCUGCAGCCAGAAAGGAAUUUUUAAAUGGUCAAUAUUUUCAUAUAUUUCUAGCAAUUAUUUUUUUCUUGCAAAAUCUUUAACAGAAAUCACAAUGUAAGUUCAAGAUUGCAACACUGUUAACAGAGGAACAUUCAUAGAGUUUAGAAGAAAAAUACGUAACAAAAGCUUUAAGAAGAUAAUAUCCUACACUAAAAAAGUGACUCAGGAGUCACUGAAAACUGGGCUGUGCUUUCUUAGAACCCUGUGAACUGAAGCCAGACAACUUAAACUUCAGAAGAAAAUAACAGCAACCUGUUUACAUACGUAAGCCACUU